AGUAAUGUCUGCCCGGUGAAAAAUUUAACGGCCGCAGUACUUUGACUGUGCUAAGGUAGCAAAAUAAAUAGGCUUUUAAUUAAGGUCGAGUAUGAAUGGCAACAUGGGUGGCAGCUGUCUCAUUUUGUAAAAUUUUAAUUUAAUUAGUAGGUGAAAAUGCCUACCUAAAUACAUAAGACGAGAAGACCCUUAGAGUUUUUAAAACUUUAUCUAGUAAAUAUUUAUGAAUUUUUUGUUGGGGCGACACAGUAGUACUUUAACCUACUUAGAUAUAUAUAUUACGGGACUUUAUUGAAAACAUAUGAAUAUAACUACCUAAGGGAUAACAGCAUAAUUUUACUAUUAAGAUUGUGACCUCGAUGUUGGACUAGGGAAUAGGUGUAUUAGUCAUAUA
Molecule: ribosomal RNA, 394 nt
Filed under: Arion fuscus
Lineage: Eukaryota; Metazoa; Mollusca; Gastropoda; Stylommatophora; Arionidae
Description: partial 16S ribosomal RNA
Rfam family: Bacterial large subunit ribosomal RNA
Source: RNAcentral